This 478-nucleotide ribosomal RNA is filed under the name uncultured bacterium. Its description in RNAcentral is "partial 16S ribosomal RNA". It matches the Rfam family "Bacterial small subunit ribosomal RNA", at positions 28 to 523 of the family's 1533-position model. The record is from RNAcentral.
GACGAACGCUGGCGGCGUGCUUAACACGUGCAAGUCGAACGGUAAGGCCCUUCGGGGUACACGAGUGGCGAACGGGUGAGUAACACGUGGGUGAUCUGCCCUGCACUUUGGGAUAAGACUGGGAAACUGGGUCUAAUACCGGAUAGGACCACGGCCUGCAUGGGUUGUGGUGGAAAGCUUUUGCGGUGUGGGAUGGGCCCGCGGCCUAUCAGCUUGUUGGUGGGGUGAUGGCCUACCAAGGCGACGACGGGUAGCCGGCCUGAGAGGGUGUCCGGCCACACUGGGACUGAGAUACGGCCCAGACUCCUACGGGAGGCAGCAGUGGGGAAUAUUGCACAAUGGGCGCAAGCCUGAUGCAACGACGCCGCGUGGGGGAUGACGGCCUUCGGGUUGUAAACCUCUUUCACCAGGGACGAAGCGCAAGUGACGGUACCUGGAGAAGAAGCACCGGCCAACUACGUGCCAGCAGCCGCCGUAA